RNAcentral lists this ribosomal RNA (186 nucleotides) under Aneurinibacillus thermoaerophilus. RNAcentral describes it as "23S rRNA. Bacterial LSU". It matches the Rfam family "Bacterial large subunit ribosomal RNA", at positions 2739 to 2925 of the family's 2925-position model. The record is from RNAcentral. Lineage: Bacteria; Bacillati; Bacillota; Bacilli; Caryophanales; Paenibacillaceae.
AGCUGGGUAGCCAUGUGCGGACGGGAUAAGCGCUGAAAGCAUCUAAGCGUGAAGCCCCCCUCAAGAUGAGAUUUCCCACAGCGUAAGCUGGUAAGACCCCUUAUAGAUGAUGAGGUGGAUAGGUUCGAGGUGGAAGCGUGGCAACACGUGGAGCUGACGAAUACUAAUCGGUCGAGGGCUUAACCA